AUACGGAGGGUGCGAGCGUUAAUCGGAAUUACUGGGCGUAAAGGGUGCGUAGGCGGCUUGAUAAGUCGGAUGUGAAAGCCCCGGGCUUAACCUGGGAAUUGCAUUCGAUACUGUCAGGCUAGAGUAUGUCAGAGGUUGGCGGAAUUCCUGGUGUAGCGGUGAAAUGCGUAGAUAUCAGGAGGAACACCAGUGGCGAAGACGGCUAACUGGGACAAUACUGACGCUGAGGCACGAAAGCGUGGGGAGCAAACAGGAUUAGAUACCCGAGUAGUCC
RNAcentral lists this ribosomal RNA (274 nucleotides) under uncultured bacterium. RNAcentral's name for it is "partial 16S ribosomal RNA". It matches the Rfam family "Bacterial small subunit ribosomal RNA", at positions 523 to 796 of the family's 1533-position model. The record is from RNAcentral.